This 446-nucleotide unclassified non-coding RNA is filed under the name Plagiocheilus bogotensis. RNAcentral's name for it is "partial external transcribed spacer". Lineage: Eukaryota; Viridiplantae; Streptophyta; Magnoliopsida; Asterales; Asteraceae. The record is from RNAcentral.
GAGUGGUGUUUGGUUUGAUACGAGUGGUUGGCUCCCUGCUUGAGCAGGCACGACCACACGUACAUUCCUUUUCAGUUGUGCGGCAAGGCUUGUAUCGUCUUGAUCGUAUAUGUGGGUUUCCUGUGUUGCAUUCCUGAUCAAUGGCAUUGUUUUGAUAAAAACAUACCUUUUCCGUCUGGCAUUGUAAUGCAAUGUUAGGCGAACCAUGUAGCAUCCUCUUUGAUCCAUUUAGUCGAUGAUAUUCAUUGAUUGUUUGGCCUGUUGAGGGUGGCUUGGUCUCUCGGAUAUGGAAGCCAAAGUGGGCACGGGUUCGUAUGGUCCUUUUAUUGCCCUAGUUGAGCGUUCUCGCUUCUCUUGAACGAUUGUCUCUCACGUAUGGCACGUCCCAGCGUGUUUGGCAUUGUCGUAGAGGAAUGCUACCUGGUUGAUCCUGCCAGUAGUCAUAU